GCAAGUCGAACGCGACUUAGGCUUCGGUCUAAGUUGAGUGGCGAACGGGUGAGUAACACGUGGGUGACCUACCUUCGAGUGGGGGAUAACGUCCCGAAAGGGACGCUAAUACCGCAUAACAUCCUGCCUUUGAACAGGUGGAGAUCAAAGCCGGGGAUCGCAAGACCUGGCGCUUGAUGAGGGGCCCGCGUCUGAUUAGCUAGUUGGUGGGGUAAUGGCUCACCAAGGCAACGAUCAGUAUCCGGCCUGAGAGGGCGGACGGACACACUGGGACUGAGACACGGCCCAGACUCCUACGGGAGGCAGCAGUGGGGAAUUGUUCGCAAUGGGCGCAAGCCUGACGACGCAACGCCGCGUGGAGGAUGAAGGUCUUCGGAUUGUAAACUCCUGUUGCUCGGGACGAAAAGCUCCGACCUAAUACGUCGGAGUCUGACGGUACCGAGUGAGGAAGCCCCGGCUAACUCUGUGCCAGCAGCCGCGGUAAUACAGAGGGGGCAAGCGUUGUUCGGAAUUACUGGGCGUAAAGGGCGCGUAGGCGGCCUGCUAAGUCGAACGUGAAAUCCCUGGGCUCAACCCAGGAACUGCGUCCGAUACUGGUUGGCUUGAAUCCGGGAGAGGGAUGUGGAAUUCCAGGUGUAGCGGUGAAAUGCGUAGAUAUCUGGAGGAACACCGGUGGCGAAGGCGACAUCCUGGACCGGUAUUGACGCUGAGGCGCGAAAGCCAGGGGAGCAAACGGGAUUAGAUACCCCGGUAGUCCUGGCCCUAAACGAUGAAUGCUUGGUGUGGCGGGUAUCGAUCCCUGCCGUGCCGAAGCUAACGCAUUAAGCAUUCCGCCUGGGGAGUACGGUCGCAAGGCUG
Molecule: ribosomal RNA, 858 nt
Filed under: uncultured Acidobacteriota bacterium
Lineage: Bacteria; Pseudomonadati; Acidobacteriota
Description: bacterial SSU rRNA
Rfam family: Bacterial small subunit ribosomal RNA
Source: RNAcentral